This 486-nucleotide ribosomal RNA is filed under the name uncultured bacterium. RNAcentral describes it as "partial 16S ribosomal RNA". It matches the Rfam family "Bacterial small subunit ribosomal RNA", at positions 30 to 507 of the family's 1533-position model. The record is from RNAcentral.
AUUGAACGCUGGCGGAAUGCUUUACACAUGCAAGUCGAACGGCAGCACGGGAGCUUGCUCCUGGUGGCGAGUGGCGAACGGGUGAGUAACAUAUCGGAACGUACCCAGUCGUGGGGGAUAACUAUCCGAAAGGAUAGCUAAUACCGCAUACGUCCUGAGGGAGAAAGCGGGGGAUCGCAAGACCUCGCGCGCUUGGAGCGGCCGAUAUCGGAUUAGCUAGUUGGUGGGGUAAAGGCUCACCAAGGCGACGAUCCGUAGCGGGUCUGAGAGGACGACCCGCCACACUGGAACUGAGACACGGUCCAGACUCCUACGGGAGGCAGCAGUGGGGAAUUUUGGACAAUGGGGGCAACCCUGAUCCAGCCAUUCCGCGUGAGUGAAGAAGGCCUUCGGGUUGUAAAGCUCUUUCAGCAGGAACGAAACGGUCGGCUUUAAUAAAAUCGGCUAAUGACGGUACCUGCAGAAGAAGCACCGGCUAACUACGUG